Molecule: long non-coding RNA, 2369 nt
Organism: Vigna radiata var. radiata (mung bean)
Lineage: Eukaryota; Viridiplantae; Streptophyta; Magnoliopsida; Fabales; Fabaceae
Exons: 5
Source: RefSeq, a predicted model, not a curated record
UAAGCCUAAUGUACUGAAAAUGUAAACCCUAAUUCACGUCACUCGAACCUUCUCUCAGAGCUCUCGUUUCUCUCGAGCUCUCGUCUCUGAGAGGCCUGUACCCUCACUCGAGCUUUCGUUUCUCGCUUCACUCCAUCUCUUCUCUCUCGAACCUUCACUUCACCUUGUGUUUCUUCUCCCUAAAAAAUCAAAUCUCUCUCACUUAAACCCUCAGAACCCUAGUCUUCUCUGUGCAUGUCUCCUUCGCAUUGGAGUUAUCCCGAAACCCUAGCCUUCACCGUGUGGAGAUGGUGGGAACGAUAGUGGCGAGACUGCAGGGGAUGCGGAGAGGAAGCAGGUGGUCUAGGAGGCGUUCCUUUCCCUGGUGCUAGUUCUCAAUUUGGGCUUUUUGCACACCGUCUUCUACGCUUUCUUUUACACGACCUUGGAUAUAAAGAGAUGGAUGAAGUGAAAGGUAUUAGUCUUUUACCAUAUGGAUGAUGGUUGUUUGAUUUUUUGCUGGUAGAUAUGUCUACUUUUAAUGUUUAACCAUUUAAUAUUUGAUUGAGUUUUGUAACGAAGAGAGGGGAUUGUUAAAAGAAGCGAUCUCGUGAUAGCAGCAAAAGGCGCUUUAUUAUGUUACCCCUACCAAUCACAGUAAUGCCUCAAAGUGAAACAAGCUUUAUUAUGUUACCCCUACCAACUUCGAAAUUUAUUUUCCAGAACACAAUAAAUAAUUUUAGAAGUUUUGUUUUUGGAAAUUUUUUCCAGAAGCGAAUCAAUCCCUCUUUUUACUGAAAGCAUUUUCCAAAAGCAUUUUGAUGGGGUGGGAGUUUACCUAUUUAUUAUUCAUUACAUAACCCUAAAUGGAUUCGUUUUGCCAUAUGCAUCCAACAAAUUACAGAAGCAUCCUCUAUAGCAAGGGUUGUUAUAGUGAAAAAGGCAGGUUCUGCAAAAAAAAAAAUCUAUGGCCCAAAAUCUGUGUGAACUAGUUGAAUCAAGCAUUACACUCGGCCAAAAUUAUAGCUAAUAAUCUGGUUGCAACUCUUUCUACUAGAGAAUAUAACAGUCCAAAACGUCAUAAGAUUAUGACUUGAUCCACCUUGCCUACCACCAACAACAAUCUCCCUCUUAGUAAUUAUGAUGCAGGGCCUGACAGUUAGUACCUUUCAGGUUGUUUUAGUCCCAACGGUUGUGGGAGUUUUGGCAAAUGAGUUUUUUCCUAAGUUCACUUCAAAGAUAAUCAUUGUCUGUGCUCUGGAAUUAGUCGGAGGAGCUAUCUGCAAAGUUGUUGGAAUUUUUGGAGUCCCCACAUGCUACAAUUGACAUUCUACUUGCUGAUAUAGAGCAGAUGUUAACAGGAGGUACCUUGCUGCUAAGGGAUAAAUAUUUCAUUGUUAUAUACUGUGUGAAAGACUUCGUUCCAACAAGUGUGGCUGCUAUUUUAGCUGAAAGAGAGGAAAUGACAAAUCAAGUAUAGGAUGUUGAAGAGAAGUUCCAGUGCAGAGCAGUUGGUGCAAUUCCAUCAGGGUAAGGUGAAGCAACAGCACAGGCUNGGACUCUAGCAGAGUUCUACGAGGCCCAGGCUCGAUGGGAAAGGAAAUAUCUCCUGUAGUAGACCUCACAUGUAGGCAUAAGCUACUGUUGUCAAUGGCAUAAACGAUUUUUUGAACCACAGGUAUGAUCAUCCUCUUUUGGUCGAGGCAAGGGAGAAAACGGAAUGGGUUCUCCCAAUUAGUGUACAUGCUCNACCACCAAGAGCUCCUGCUUCUGCUUCUGCCACAAGAAGCGAAAAACUUUUCUCUUUGGAUCCUAUGUGGGUACACAAUUGAAGUUAAAUUAAGAUGAAGCUGAAAUAUGGUAACCGACCAUUGUAGCCUUUUAUACGCCUCAAGCUUCAAUUCUUUAAAUGUACAAAAUUUUCACAAAAUAACAGCCAGUGAAAUGUCAGAAUGAUCAUUUGUAGCAUACCAGANUUCCANCAAUUUNUCGUGGUUGGUUUANCUGAAAUGUGNCAGAGGUCUUUUGAGUAUAGUAUUUCUUCUCAUUUCAUGUUUUUUUCAUAUUUGCCUUCAGUGCCAGGUGAUUUAUGUCCCAUAGUUAAUCCGGUUAAUUAAUUUGCUUUUAUAAUUUNUAACUCAAAAGGGGUUUUAGUAGAUUGUUUGAAUCAUUGUUUUGUUGUGGUUACUAAAUCAUUAGUUAGGGAUAGAAGGGUAUAAAUUGGUGCCUUAGAAUUGUUGGUUUCAAUCUCUUGGACUUAUUGGAUGAAUAAUGUUAAGUUUGCUUUGUACACUUAUUUUUAACUUUUAUAUGUUUUGUAUUUGUAUUUGUUUUUGGUGAUGUUAAUGUAUUUGUAUUUGUUACAUUAAUUAAAAAUUUAGAUAUUAGUA